Molecule: ribosomal RNA, 761 nt
Filed under: uncultured bacterium
Lineage: Bacteria
Description: bacterial SSU rRNA
Rfam family: Bacterial small subunit ribosomal RNA
Source: RNAcentral
AAUGAACGCUAGCUACAGGUUUAACACAUGCAAGUCGAGGGGCAGCAUGAAAGGAACUUCGGUUCUUUUUGAUGGCGACCGGCGCACGGGUGCGUAACGCGUAUCGAACCUGCCUCAUACUCGGGGAUAGCCUUGCGAAAGUAAGAUUAAUACCCGGCGGUCUCGGAUGGCCGCAUGACUAUCCGAGUGAAGAUUUAUCGGUAUGAGAUGGCGAUGCGUCCCAUUAGCUAGUUGGUGAGGUAAUGGCUCACCAAGGCAUCGAUGGGUAGGGGUUCUGAGAGGAAGGUCCCCCACACUGGAACUGAGACACGGUCCAAACUCCUACGGGAGGCAGCAGUGAGGAAUAUUGGUCAAUGGACGAAAGUCUGAACCAGCCAAGUAGCGUGCAGGAUGACGGCCCUCUGGGUUGUAAACUGCUUUUAGUUGGGAAUAAAAAGAGGGACGUGUCCCUUAUUGUAUGUACCAUCAGAAAAAGGACCGGCUAAUUCCGUGCCAGCAGCCGCGGUAAUACGGAAGGUCCAGGCGUUAUCCGGAUUUAUUGGGUUUAAAGGGAGCGUAGAUGGGUUGUUAAGUCAGUUGUGAAAGUUUGCGGCUCAACCGUAAAAUUGCAAUUGAUACUGGCAGUCUUGAGUACAGUUGAGGUAGGCGGAAUUCGUGGUGUAGCGGUGAAAUGCUUAGAUAUCACGAAGAACUCCGAUUGCGAAGGCAGCUUACUAACCUGUAACUGACAUUGAUGCUCGAAAGUGUGGGUAUCAAACAGG